AGUGAACGCUGGCGGUAGGCCUAACACAUGCAAGUCGAACGGCAGCACAGUAAGAGCUUGCUCUUACGGGUGGCGAGUGGCGGACGGGUGAGGAAUACAUCGGAAUCUACUUUUUCGUGGGGGAUAACGUAGGGAAACUUACGCUAAUACCGCAUACGACCUACGGGUGAAAGCAGGGGAUCUUCGGACCUUGCGCGAUUGAAUGAGCCGAUGUCGGAUUAGCUAGUUGGCGGGGUAAAGGCCCACCAAGGCGACGAUCCGUAGCUGGUCUGAGAGGAUGAUCAGCCACACUGGAACUGAGACACGGUACAGACUCCUACGGGAGGCAGCAGUGGGGAAUAUUGGACAAUGGGCGCAAGCCUGAUACAGCCAUACCGCGUGGGUGAAGAAGGCCUUCGGGUUGUAAAGCCCUUUUGUUGGGAAAGAAAAGCAGCAGGUUAAUACCCCGCUGUUCUGACGGUACCCAAAGAAUAAGCACCGGCUAACUUCGUG
This 492-nucleotide ribosomal RNA is filed under the name uncultured bacterium. RNAcentral's name for it is "partial 16S ribosomal RNA". It matches the Rfam family "Bacterial small subunit ribosomal RNA", at positions 29 to 507 of the family's 1533-position model. The record is from RNAcentral.